This 72-nucleotide transfer RNA is filed under the name Entomophthora muscae. RNAcentral describes it as "tRNA-Asp". It matches the Rfam family "tRNA". Rfam says of the family: Transfer RNA (tRNA) molecules are approximately 80 nucleotides in length. RNAcentral also lists the same sequence under 1 other name. The record is from RNAcentral. Lineage: Eukaryota; Fungi; Entomophthoromycota; Entomophthoromycetes; Entomophthorales; Entomophthoraceae.
UCUCGGGUAGUAUAGUGGUAAGUAUCCCCGCCUGUCACGCGGGAGACCGGGGUUCAAUUCCCCGCUCGAGAG